This 618-nucleotide ribosomal RNA is filed under the name Acinetobacter baumannii. RNAcentral's name for it is "bacterial SSU rRNA". It matches the Rfam family "Bacterial small subunit ribosomal RNA", at positions 65 to 677 of the family's 1533-position model. The record is from RNAcentral. Lineage: Bacteria; Pseudomonadati; Pseudomonadota; Gammaproteobacteria; Moraxellales; Moraxellaceae.
AGCGGGGGAAGGUAGCUUGCUACCCGACCUAGCGGCGGACGGGUGAGUAAUGCUUAGGAAUCUGCCUAUUAGUGGGGGACAACAUCUCGAAAGGGAUGCUAAUACCGCAUACGUCCUACGGGAGAAAGCAGGGGAUCUUCCGACCUUGCGCUAAUAGAUGAGCCUAAGUCGGAUUAGCUAGUUGGUGGGGUAAAGGCCUACCAAGGCGACGAUCUGUAGCGGGUCUGAGAGGAUGAUCGGCCACACUGGGACUGAGACACGGCCCAGACUCCUACGGGAGGCAGCAGUGGGGAAAAUUGGACAAUGGGGGGAACCCUGAUCCAGCCAUGCCGCGUGUGUGAAGAAGGCCUUAUGGUUGUAAAGCACUUUAAGCGAGGAGGAGGCUACUUUAGUUAAUACCUAGAGAUAGUGGACGUUACUCGCAGAAUAAGCACCGGCUAACUCUGUGCCAGCAGCCGCGGUAAUACAGAGGGUGCGAGCGUUAAUCGGAUUUACUGGGCGUAAAGCGUGCGUAGGCGGCUUAUUAAGUCGGAUGUGAAAUCCCCGAGCUUAACUUGGGAAUUGCAUUCGAUACUGGUGAGCUAGAGUAUGGGAGAGGAUGGUAGAAUUCCAGGUGUA